GACGAACGCUGGCGGCGCGCUUAACACAUGCAAGUCGAGCGAGAACCAGGCCUUCGGGCCUGGGACGAGCGGCGAACGGGUGAGUAACACGUGGGUAAUCUACCCUCGAUACUGGGAUAGCCCGGGGAAACCCGGGACGUUAAUACCGGAUAGCCUCUCGAGCUCUCGGGCUCGUGAGAAAAGGUAGGCUUCGGCCUCCGAUCGAGGAUGAGCCCGCGGCGGAUUAGCUUGUUGGUGGGGUAAUGGCCUACCAAGGCAACGAAUCCGUAGCUGGUCUGAGAGGACGAUCAGCCACACUGGGACUGAGACACGGCCCAGACUCCUACGGGAGGCAGCAGUGGGGAAUCUUGCCCAAUGGGCGCAAGCCUGAGGCAGCGACGCCGCGUGAGGGAAGAAGGCCCUAGGGUUGUAGACCUCUUUCAGCAGGGACGAAGCCACUCGGGUUAAUAGCCCAGAGGGUGACGGUACCUGCAGAAGAACGCCCCGGCUAACUACGUGCCAGCCGCCGCCGUAAG
RNAcentral lists this ribosomal RNA (515 nucleotides) under uncultured bacterium. RNAcentral describes it as "bacterial SSU rRNA". It matches the Rfam family "Bacterial small subunit ribosomal RNA", at positions 28 to 524 of the family's 1533-position model. The record is from RNAcentral.